This 68-nucleotide transfer RNA is filed under the name Hoploplana elisabelloi. RNAcentral describes it as "tRNA-Ser". Lineage: Eukaryota; Metazoa; Platyhelminthes; Polycladida; Hoploplanidae. The record is from RNAcentral.
GGGAUGUUCAAUUUGAUAUAAGAGGCUGCUAACUUCUUUUAGAGUAACUAAAAAUUAUUCACAUCUCU